GAUGAAGAACGUAGUGAAAUGCGAUAAGUAAUGUGAAUUGCAGAAUUCAGUGAAUCAUCGAAUCUUUGAACGCACAUUGCGCCCCCUGGUAUUCCGGGGGGCAUGCCUGUUCGAGCGUCAUUUCAACCCUCAAGCUCUGCUUGGUAUUGGGCGUCGCCGGGGAGUCUCCCCGGCGUGCCUCAAAGCCAUCGGCGGUGGUGCCUUUCUCUAAGCGUGGUAGAAUUUUUAUUCGCUUCUGAGUUGGGCUUCGCCUGCCGGACAAUCCGGGCCCUCGCGGCCCACCUUCUCAGGUUGACCUCGGAUCAGGUAGGGAUACCCGCUGAACUUAAGCAUAUCAAUAAGCGGAGGA
This 349-nucleotide unclassified non-coding RNA is filed under the name soil metagenome. RNAcentral describes it as "partial contains 5.8S ribosomal RNA, internal transcribed spacer 2, and large subunit ribosomal RNA". The stretch from base 1 to 120 matches the Rfam family "5.8S ribosomal RNA", at positions 35 to 154 of the family's 154-position model. The record is from RNAcentral.